RNAcentral lists this ribosomal RNA (465 nucleotides) under uncultured bacterium. RNAcentral's name for it is "bacterial SSU rRNA". It matches the Rfam family "Bacterial small subunit ribosomal RNA", at positions 338 to 795 of the family's 1533-position model. The record is from RNAcentral.
CCUACGGGGGGCUGCAGUAGGGAAUCUUCCGCAAUGGACGAAAGUCUGACGGAGCAACGCCGCGUGAGCGAAGAAGGUCUUCGGAUCGUAAAGCUCUGUUGUUAGGGAAGAACAAGUACGGGAGGAAAUGACCGUACCUUGACGGUACCUAACGAGGAAGCCACGGCUAACUACGUGCCAACAGCCGCGGUAAUACGUAAGUGGCAAGCGUUGGCCGGAAUUUUUGAGCAUAAAGCGCGCGCAGGCAGUCAUUUAAGUCUGAUGUGAAAUCUUGCGGAUCAACCGCAAGCGGUCAUUGGAAACUGUGAGAAUUGAGUGCAGAAGAGGAGAGCGGAAUUCCACGUGUAGCGGUGAAAUGCGUCGAGAUGUGGAGGAACACCAGUGGCGAAGGCGGCUGUCUGGUCUGUAACUGACGCUGAGGCGCGAAAGCGUGGGGAGCAAACAGGAUUAGAUACCCGAGUAGUC